This 107-nucleotide small RNA is filed under the name Lacinutrix gracilariae. Its description in RNAcentral is "6S RNA". It matches the Rfam family "6S-Flavo RNA". Lineage: Bacteria; Pseudomonadati; Bacteroidota; Flavobacteriia; Flavobacteriales; Flavobacteriaceae. The record is from RNAcentral. RNAcentral also lists the same sequence under 2 other names.
ACUCAACGUUAAUUCUUUAAAAAGGGUGAGUUUAAGUUGUAAAAGCGAGCUACCUUGAGUAGAUACUUGAUCAGCUUGUUAGCCCUAAACUUGUUUUUAAGGAGUUU